ACAUGCAGUCGACGAUGAUGAGGAGCUUGCUUCUCAUGAUUAGUGGCGAACGGGUGAGUAACACGUGACAAUCUGCCCUUGACUCUGGGAUAAGCGUUGGAAACGACGUCUAAUACCGGAUACGACCCUUGGAGGCAUCUCUGGGGGUGGAAAGAAUUUUGGUCAAGGAUGAGCUCGCGGCCUAUCAGCUAGUUGGUGAGGUAAUGGCUCACCAAGGCGACGACGGGUAGCCGGCCUGAGAGGGUGACCGGCCACACUGGGACUGAGACACGGCCCAGACUCCUACGGGAGGCAGCAGUGGGGAAUAUUGCACAAUGGGCGAAAGUGAUGCAGCAACSCGCGUGAGGGACGACGGCCUUCGGGUUGUAAACCUCUUUUAGUAGGGAAGAAGCGAAAGUGACGGUACCUGCAGAAAAAGCACCGGCUAACUACGUGCCAGCAGCCGCGGUAAUACGUAGGGUGCAAGCGUUGUCCGGAAUUAUUGGGCGUAAAGAGCUCGUAGGCGGUUUGUCGCGUCUGCUGUGAAAACCCGAGGCUCAACCUCGGCCUGCAGUGGGUACGGGCAGACUAGAGUGCGGUAGGGGAGAUUGGAAUUCCUGGUGUAGCGGUGGAAUGCGCAGAUAUCAGGAGGAACACCAAUGGCGAAGGCAGAUCUCUGGGCCGUAACUGACGCUGAGGAGCGAAAGCAUGGGGAGCGAACAGGAUUAGAUACCCUGGUAGUCCAUGCCGUAAACGUUGGGAACUAGAUGUGGGGACCAUUCCACGGUCUCCGUGUCGCAGCUAACGCAUUAAGUUCCCCGCCUGGGGAGUACGGCCGCAAGGCUAAAACUCAAAGGAAUUGACGGGGGCCGCACAAGCGGCGGAGCAUGCGGAUUAAUUCGAUGCAACGCGAAGAACCUUACCAAGGCUUGACAUAUAGAGGAAACGUCUGGAAACAGUCGCCCCGCAAGGUCUCUAUACAGGUGGUGCAUGGUUGUCGUCAGCUCGUGUCGUGAGAUGUUGGGUUAAGUCCCGCAACGAGCGCAACCCUCGUCCUAUGUUGCCAGCACGUAAUGGUGGGAACUCAUGGGAUACUGCCGGGGUCAACUCGGAGGAAGGUGGGGAUGACGUCAAAUCAUCAUGCCCCUUAUGUCUUGGGUUCACGCAUGCUACAAUGGCCGGUACAAAGGGCUGCAAUACCGCAAGGUGGAGCGAAUCCCAAAAAGCCGGUCUCAGUUCGGAUUGAGGUCUGCAACUCGACCUCAUGAAGUCGGAGUCGCUAGUAAUCGCAGAUCA
RNAcentral lists this ribosomal RNA (1275 nucleotides) under Cryobacterium psychrotolerans. RNAcentral's name for it is "bacterial SSU rRNA". It matches the Rfam family "Bacterial small subunit ribosomal RNA", at positions 53 to 1351 of the family's 1533-position model. Lineage: Bacteria; Bacillati; Actinomycetota; Actinomycetes; Micrococcales; Microbacteriaceae. The record is from RNAcentral.